UUAUAAAAAAUGACAAUAAGUAGCUGGGAAUUAUAUUAAAAUAAUUUCAGAUUACCAGAAUGUCUAAGCUAUUAUUGUUGAUACUCUUUAUUGCUUUAAUUGCACAAAUAUCUGCAGUAUGUUUGACAAAAGGCUCAGCAUGUGGAGAUAUUAUUAUUACUGAAUGCUGUAGCGGUAAAUGUUUUCCUGAUCCAAAAAUAAAUAUGUUAAAAACAUGUAAAGAAUAAUCGAAGUAAUAAUAGCUCUAAUUUUUGAUAAAAAUUAUUUAUAAAAAUUAAAAAAUUGUAAAAAAUUAUAUAAAUAUUUUAUCAAGCAAUUAUUUUCUUAGAAUUGUUAAUUAUUAAUUAUUAAUUAUAAGCCUUGACCUCGUUGAUUAUAUCAUAAAUGUCACAAAAAUUGAAUAUAUAAAUGUAAAAAAUUCAAGAUUUAUUAUUACAACAAUUUAAUAAUUUAUAUAAGCAACUAGUAGACAUUUUACCUUUUUAAAAUGUCAAAACUUUUUAUUUCGAUCCUUUUAAUCACUUUAAUCGCAUACGCGAUUGCUAAAGAUUGCUUACCGAAUGGUUCAAUGUGCAAUAAUGGAAUUGUGACGCCUUGUUGUGGAAGAUGUAUCGCGGACCCGAAUAUACAUUUGAUGUCCGAGUGCAAAGAUUGACUUCUUCUUUAAAAUUAAUUAAAAAAAAAUUUUUAAUUAUUUAAAAACAAACAAAUAAAAAUAUUAAUGAGAAA
Molecule: long non-coding RNA, 729 nt
Organism: Cotesia glomerata
Lineage: Eukaryota; Metazoa; Arthropoda; Insecta; Hymenoptera; Braconidae
Exons: 3
Source: RefSeq, a predicted model, not a curated record